Molecule: non-coding RNA, 31 nt
Filed under: Rattus norvegicus (Norway rat)
Lineage: Eukaryota; Metazoa; Chordata; Mammalia; Rodentia; Muridae
Source: RNAcentral
UAGAAAUGGAGACACGGCAGGUUCAGUCAAU